UGUGUUGCCCACAGCAGCAAAAAUUCAGUGUGCAAUGCUGUCACAGUGACAGCAUUGCACACUGAAUUUUUGCUGCUGUGGGCAACACA
This is a non-coding RNA of Podarcis lilfordi (Lilford's wall lizard), 89 nucleotides long. Lineage: Eukaryota; Metazoa; Chordata; Lepidosauria; Squamata; Lacertidae. The record is from the annotation of a GenBank genome assembly.